Molecule: transfer RNA, 90 nt
Filed under: Verrucomicrobia bacterium LW23
Lineage: Bacteria; Pseudomonadati; Verrucomicrobiota
Description: tRNA-Ser
Rfam family: tRNA
About the family: Transfer RNA (tRNA) molecules are approximately 80 nucleotides in length. Their secondary structure includes four short double-helical elements and three loops (D, anti-codon, and T loops).
Source: RNAcentral
GGACGAGUGGCAGAGUGGUCUAAUGCGUCUGACUUGAAAUCAGAUGUGCUCUCACGGGCACCGUGGGUUCGAAUCCUACCUCGUCCGCCC